This is a long non-coding RNA of Haemorhous mexicanus (house finch), 356 nucleotides long. RefSeq lists it as uncharacterized. NCBI's taxonomy places the organism in Eukaryota, Metazoa, Chordata, Aves, Passeriformes, Fringillidae. The transcript has 2 exons. The record is from RefSeq and is a predicted model, not a curated record.
UCUAGUUAACAGAUGCCUAGAUUAGUGAAACAAUAUAAAGUUAGCAUAAGUAGCAGUAGUUAUGCUAAGGCCUCAUAGGCCCGGUAAACUUCAAGUGAACUUUAGUGCUUUAGUGCCAGGUAGAUCGGAAGAUGUAUUAUCUAGAAAAUGUACUAAACCUUAUCUAUGGAAUGCACCUUUUGGCUGAGUAACGGAUGUCAGGGUGUACCUAAUAAAUCUCUGUAUGCUAUCUCUAAAAGUGUGCAGGGAGAUGUUGGAUAUAUAAACCCUGUAAAUUCUGUGGCAAAUUGGGGCUCUGACUUUGGACAAUAGUCCUCAGGUCCCCAGGGCCCUCAAUAAAGCACCGCAUAAAACAA